Molecule: transfer RNA, 70 nt
Filed under: uncultured Entomomonas sp.
Lineage: Bacteria; Pseudomonadati; Pseudomonadota; Gammaproteobacteria; Pseudomonadales; Pseudomonadaceae
Rfam family: tRNA (bases 4-64)
About the family: Transfer RNA (tRNA) molecules are approximately 80 nucleotides in length.
Source: RNAcentral
CUUGUAGCUCAGUUGGAUAGAGCGACCGCCUCCUAAGCGGUAGGUCGCGGGUUCGAAUCCCGCCUCGUGC